This 743-nucleotide ribosomal RNA is filed under the name uncultured bacterium. RNAcentral describes it as "bacterial SSU rRNA". It matches the Rfam family "Bacterial small subunit ribosomal RNA", at positions 8 to 796 of the family's 1533-position model. The record is from RNAcentral.
AGAGUUUGAUCAUGGCUCAGAACGAACGCUGGCGGCAGGCUUAACACAUGCAAGUCGAACGCACUCUUCGGAGUGAGUGGCAGACGGGUGAGUAACGCGUGGGAACGUACCUUUCGGUUCGGAAUAACCCAGGGAAACUUGGGCUAAUACCGGAUACGCCCUUACGGGGAAAGAUUUAUCGCCGAAAGAUCGGCCCGCGUCGGAUUAGCUAGUUGGUGGGGUAACGGCCUACCAAGGCGACGAUCCGUAGCUGGUCUGAGAGGAUGAUCAGCCACACUGGGACUGAGACACGGCCCAGACUCCUACGGGAGGCAGCAGUGGGGAAUAUUGGACAAUGGGCGAAAGCCUGAUCCAGCCAUGCCGCGUGAGUGAAGAAGGCCUUAGGGUUGUAAAGCUCUUUCAGCGGGGACGAUAAUGACGGUACCCGCAGAAGAAGCCCCGGCUAACUUCGUGCCAGCAGCCGCGGUAAUACGAAGGGGGCUAGCGUUGUUCGGAAUUACUGGGCGUAAAGCGCGCGUAGGCGGACCAUUAAGUCAGAGGUGAAAUCCCAGGGCUCAACCCUGGAACUGCCUUUGAUACUGGAGGUCUGGAGUUCGGGAGAGGUGAGUGGAAUUCCGAGUGUAGAGGUGAAAUUCGUAGAUAUUCGGAGGAACACCAGAAGCGAAGGCGGCUCACUGGCCCGAUACUGACGCUGAGGCCGCGAAAGCGUGGGGAGCAAACAGGAUUAGAUACCCUAGUAGUCC